GAUCUACAAAUACACUAGUACUCAGCAUAAUGACUUCAUAGGCUCCUUCAGCUUUUAACCUGCUAAUCCGAUGGGCAAAGUGAGUUGUGAAAAAAAAUAAAAAUUGAUCCAAGCCCAAACAAUGAAGCCUCUAAUGUAAAUCCAAGAUCAAAUGGAGUACUUAAUGCACCUAAAACGUAUUAUCGAUGGCAUUGAAGAACAAUAGGUUGGUGGUGCCGUUCAUGAACUUAGGCCAUCCAUAAGGGAUGGGCCCAACGUAGACAUUAUUCCAAGGCAAUGCACCAAGCUUUACAAAUCAAAAGGAGAUCAUCAGGUCAGAGGACUACAAUACACAUGAUUACACCUGCACAGAAGUAGGAAUUAGGUGAGCCCAUCGCAUUCCCCUAGAAUUCUCAAACCCCAGGGAUGGUCGCACUCCUCGCACCCCUUUAUUGGCUUAGGGCAGUCAUCUCUGCUUCCAUCAAGGAGAGCAUGUGGUGAACUGCAGCGGCGAUGUCGUCAACCGUGGUCAGAUUGCAACCCUCCUCAACCUGCAGUCAUCACCACAUAAUUAUAAAUUACUUAUGUAAUAAUCUAUUUCAUAAAAACAAAUGUAUACAUGUACAUAUGCAGGCAUUGAAAAUUAAACUAGUUACCCUAUCUUAGCAAGGCAUCUGCCUUGUGUCAUUAGCGAACAAUUACCAUCAAAAAUAUUUUCGUUUAGAUAAAUAAAGAAUCGGAGCAUAAUUUUUCCCUUUGAUUUUUGUAACAGAGAGAUAAUGCAUGUGUAUCUAGGGCUGUCAAUAGGCCAAGCAAGCCCAAAUGGUUGAAGACCGGAGCCGACAAAGAAACGGGCUCAGGCCAAAAUUUCAGGCCCUAUGGCACCACAAAUCAGAAGGCCCAAUAAGGCCCGGUCCGGCCUUAGGCCUGGUUCGGCCUGGGCCUGAGAUCCCAAACGCCAGGGCCUGAGCCGGAAUGCUUGGUUCUAGUGUAUGAACAAUCAAAAAUGGUGGGUGACAUGUACUGCAUUUUUUUCUUUUUUUUGUUUCUAGGUGCUAAGAAGGUUUAUAUAUAUCCAUAGUCCCAUGCUUAUUAAGUUACAUUGUAUGGAAAAGUGAAGAUGUUCCGACGACCAUAAACUUAUCCCGAGAACGAUUCAGAAAGAAAUAAAAUGGAUAUCUCCUAACAAUGUGGAGCCAGUCAUGCAGGGGGUAUGAGUUUAAUUUAGUGCGGAUGUAUAUCAAAUCAAAGACAAAAUAACUAUGGCACUAAUUAUUGCUAAUAAUAAAGAUUAAAGGAUAAGUAAUUUUCAAUAAAGAUUUUUUUAGGAUUUGACGCCUCGAGAUUCAGCCCAUAUUGAGCCCACAGCGAGGUUCGCGGCGAAAAACAAAGUCCAACGAGACCAAGA
RNAcentral lists this long non-coding RNA (1387 nucleotides) under Elaeis guineensis (African oil palm). RNAcentral describes it as "long non-coding RNA (EGUI_LNC072719)". Lineage: Eukaryota; Viridiplantae; Streptophyta; Magnoliopsida; Arecales; Arecaceae. The record is from RNAcentral.